GCCGGGGCUUCUUCUCCGACUACCGUCAUUAUCCUCGUCGGUGAAAGAGCUUUACAACCCUAAGGCCUUCAUCACUCACGCGGCAUGGCUGGGUCAGGCUUUCGCCCAUUGCCCAAUAUUCCCC
This 124-nucleotide ribosomal RNA is filed under the name uncultured bacterium. RNAcentral describes it as "partial 16S ribosomal RNA". The record is from RNAcentral.